Molecule: small RNA, 297 nt
Filed under: Pongo abelii (Sumatran orangutan)
Lineage: Eukaryota; Metazoa; Chordata; Mammalia; Primates; Hominidae
Description: processed transcript
Source: RNAcentral
UCUUUACAGUGCGGAAGGCAGUCAUGUGUCAGGACAGAGCAACGGCCGGGAUCCUCAGGCCUUGGCUAAGGCUGUGCAAAUCCACCAUGAUACCCAGCACACGAUGUAUUUUGCCUGAGAGUCUCAGAAAAAGAACUCAACCAAUUUGGCACCCCAUGCAGCCUCAAAAUGUUUCAAAUGCCUACCGCCUCUAGAUCGAGCCAAGUUGACUUCAGUUGAUGUCCUGUCACUUUGUUUUAAAAUAAGCUAGAACCAGGAUGCUUCCUUAUUGGAAAGGCUUUGCCAGUCCUUAAGGUA